GCGGAUGUUGCAUAUUGGUAGUGCCUCUGCCUUCCAAGCAGAAGGGGUGAGUUCGAUUCUCAUCAUCCGCUCUA
RNAcentral lists this transfer RNA (74 nucleotides) under bacterium. RNAcentral describes it as "tRNA-Gly". It matches the Rfam family "tRNA". From Rfam's summary of the family: Transfer RNA (tRNA) molecules are approximately 80 nucleotides in length. The record is from RNAcentral.